This 28-nucleotide ribosomal RNA is filed under the name Enallagma cyathigerum deserti. RNAcentral's name for it is "partial 28S ribosomal RNA". The record is from RNAcentral. Lineage: Eukaryota; Metazoa; Arthropoda; Insecta; Odonata; Coenagrionidae.
UUCUCAAAGGACCGACCUCAGCACAGGU